AGUUUGUGUGUGUUUCUCACUUUCUCUAUUCGCUGAAUUGCUGUUCAUAUUUGAGUUGUCAGUGUUUCUGAUAGAUCAUUAUUUCUCUCUCAGGUUGGGUUACUGUAAUCUCACAGAGAAAAGCUGUGCACUUCUGUCUUCAGCUCUCAGCUCAAACUCCUCAACUCUGAGAGAACUGAACCUGAGUGGGAACAAACUGCAGGAUUCAGGAGUGAAGCUGCUCUCUGCUGGACUGAAGAAUCCACACUGUAAACUGGAGACACUGGGUCUGUAUAAGUGCAGUAUUACAGAAGAAGGCUGUGCUGCUCUGGUUUCAGCUCUGAAAUCAAACCCCUCACACCUGAGAGAGCUGAAUCUGAACUCCAAUAAACCAGGAGAGUCAGAAGUGAAGCUGCUCUCUGAUCUACUGGAGGAUCCACGCUGUAAACUGGAGAAACUACACAUCUGGAAACACAGCUGACCUGGUCUGAGUCUCACACACACUGGGGGUUAUGAGGAGAGGAUGAAGUCUUAUAGAAUGAGGUCAAGCCCACAUUGGUGUUGAGAGCGUGUACAGGAGGAGGAGAAGAGCCUGGUGUUCUGAUAACAACAUGAGGUCGACACUCAAACCAGUGGAAAUGUUGAUAGACUUUAAUAAACUCCCUCUAGAAAUCAACACUGGAGUCACGAGAGUGGAGGAGAUCUUCAAGAUCAUGAAGACACCAUCUCACACACACACACACACAGAUAUGAGAGCACAGAGAGGCUCCUGAAGAGCAGCUGAAUGAGCUGAAACUCUGCUGCUUCCUGUGUUGUAUUAGUGUGAAGUUUCUAAGAUCAGGAUUUUGCUUUCAUGAUGUUUUUACUACAUUUAAACAGUCAGUGCUCACCAUGCUGGGACAUCAUGUCUGUCAGUUCCUUGUGUGGCUGUAUAGAAGCUUCUAAACACCUCCUUUAAAAAUGUACAUAAGAGUUUAAGACAGAUUGGGCUGUUAAGCAGCUUGAAUAGGUGAACUAAACAGUAACAGAUCAAUAUCAGAGAAAUGAAGAGCUUUUUAAAUAUAACAUCAUUGACGUACAUAGAAUGUAGUUUUUGUCUGUCAGAAACUGAAGACUUUCAGCCGUGAUAUUCAGUUUCAGAUGAUACUUCCUCACUACUGAAGGUCACUGAAAUGUAGGGCCGCCCUGUUUGCCCUGUGGACGUCUUAGCUUUGACUAAGAGUCUGAAAAUGGUGCCUCUAGACUUAAACUGGACUGGAUCAGGCAAAUAGACCAUAUUCUAUUUUUACAUAAGAUGAUAUUUUAUUAUAUAUCACUUCUGUUAUGCCAGAUUCCUGUGCUUAUCUUGAUUAUGAAUAAUAUUGAUGUCAUGUAGAGUUUUAUUCCAGUGUCAUUUGUGCCAGUAGAAAUAUUUAAUUACAGUAAAAUUUGAUGCACUUAUUAUUGGACUGUUCAACAUUAAUUCUUCCACAGUUCAUGUUUCAUUAAACACAGACCGAUUCUGACCA
This is a long non-coding RNA of Colossoma macropomum (tambaqui), 1487 nucleotides long. RefSeq lists it as uncharacterized. Lineage: Eukaryota; Metazoa; Chordata; Actinopteri; Characiformes; Serrasalmidae. The record is from RefSeq and is a predicted model, not a curated record. The transcript has 3 exons.